UAUUGGACAAUGGGCGAAAGCCUGAUCCAGCAAUGCCGCGUGAGUGAUGAAGGCCUUAGGGUUGUAAAGCUCUUUUACCCGGGAUGAUAAUGACAGUACCGGGAGAAUAAGCUCCGGCUAACUCCGUGCCAGCAGCAGCGGUAAUACGGAGGGAGCUAGCGUUGUUCGGAAUUACUGGGCGUAAAGCGCACGUAGGCGGCUUUGUAAGUUAGAGAUGAAAGCCUGGAGCUCAACUCCAGAAUUGCCUUUGAUACUGCAUCGCUUGAAUCCAGGAGAGGUGAGUGGAAUUCCGAGUGUAGAGGUGAAAUUCGUAGAUAUUCGGAAGAACACCAGUGGCGAAGGCGGCUCACUGGACGGCAUUGACGCUGAGGUGCGAAA
RNAcentral lists this ribosomal RNA (378 nucleotides) under uncultured bacterium. RNAcentral's name for it is "bacterial SSU rRNA". It matches the Rfam family "Bacterial small subunit ribosomal RNA", at positions 362 to 758 of the family's 1533-position model. The record is from RNAcentral.